AGAUAAGAAGUGGAAAAAGUGAAAGUUGCUCCAAGAUAAGGGAAGGGUCACCAGGAAGCAAGCGCCGA
Molecule: non-coding RNA, 68 nt
Organism: Caenorhabditis elegans
Lineage: Eukaryota; Metazoa; Nematoda; Chromadorea; Rhabditida; Rhabditidae
Source: Ensembl